GAUGAACGCUGGCGGCGUGCCUAAUACAUGCAAGUCGAGCGAACAGACGAGGAGCUUGCUCCUCUGACGUUAGCGGCGGACGGGUGAGUAACACGUGGAUAACCUACCUAUAAGACUGGGAUAACUUCGGGAAACCGGAGCUAAUACCGGAUAAUAUAUUGAACCGCAUGGUUCAAUAGUGAAAGACGGUUUUGCUGUCACUUAUAGAUGGAUCCGCGCCGCAUUAGCUAGUUGGUAAGGUAACGGCUUACCAAGGCAACGAUGCGUAGCCGACCUGAGAGGGUGAUCGCCCACACUGGAACUGAGACACGGUCCAGACUCCUACGGGAGGCAGCAGUAGGGAAUCUUCCGCAAUGGGCGAAAGCUUUACGGAGCAACGCCGCGUGAGUUAUGAAGGUCUUCGGAUCGUAAAACUCUGUUAUUAGGGAAGAACAAAUGUGUAAGUAACUAUGCACGUCUUGACGGUACCUAAUCAGAAAGCCACGGCUAACUACGUG
This 497-nucleotide ribosomal RNA is filed under the name uncultured bacterium. RNAcentral describes it as "partial 16S ribosomal RNA". It matches the Rfam family "Bacterial small subunit ribosomal RNA", at positions 28 to 507 of the family's 1533-position model. The record is from RNAcentral.